AAAUUGAAGAGUUUGAUCAUGGCUCAGAUUGAACGCUGGCGGCAGGCCUAACACAUGCAAGUCGAACGGUAACAGGAAGCAGCUUGCUGCUUUGCUGACGAGUGGCGGACGGGUGAGUAAUGUCUGGGAAACUGCCUGAUGGAGGGGGAUAACUACUGGAAACGGUGGCUAAUACCGCAUAACGUCGCAAGACCAAAGAGGGGGACCUUCGGGCCUCUUGCCAUCAGAUGUGCCCAGAUGGGAUUAGCUUGUUGGUGAGGUAACGGCUCACCAAGGCGACGAUCCCUAGCUGGUCUGAGAGGAUGACCAGCCACACUGGAACUGAGACACGGUCCAGACUCCUACGGGAGGCAGCAGUGGGGAAUAUUGCACAAUGGGCGCAAGCCUGAUGCAGCCAUGCCGCGUGUAUGAAGAAGGCCUUCGGGUUGUAAAAGUACUUUCAGCGGGGAGGAAGGUGUUGUGGUUAAUAACCGCAGCAAUUGACGUUACCCGCAGAAGAAGCACCGGCUAACUCCGUGCCAGCAGCCGCGGUAAUACGGAGGGUGCAAGCGUUAAUCGGAAUUACUGGGCGUAAAGCGCACGCAGGCGGUCUGUCAAGUCGGAUGUGAAAUCCCCGGGCUCAACCUGGGAACUGCAUUCGAAACUGGCAGGCUUGAGUCUUGUAGAGGGGGGUAGAAUUCCAGGUGUAGCGGUGAAAUGCGUAGAGAUCUGGAGGAAUACCGGUGGCGAAGGCGGCCCCCUGGACAAAGACUGACGCUCAGGUGCGAAAGCGUGGGGAGCAAACAGGAUUAGAUACCCUGGUAGUCCACGCCGUAAACGAUGUCUACUUGGAGGUUGUGCCCUUGAGGCGUGGCUUCCGGAGCUAACGCGUUAAGUAGACCGCCUGGGGAGUACGGCCGCAAGGUUAAAACUCAAAUGAAUUGACGGGGGCCCGCACAAGCGGUGGAGCAUGUGGUUUAAUUCGAUGCAACGCGAAGAACCUUACCUGGUCUUGACAUCCACAGAAGAAUCCAGAGAUGGAUUUGUGCCUUCGGGAACUGUGAGACAGGUGCUGCAUGGCUGUCGUCAGCUCGUGUUGUGAAAUGUUGGGUUAAGUCCCGCAACGAGCGCAACCCUUAUCCUUUGUUGCCAGCGGUCCGGCCGGGAACUCAAAGGAGACUGCCAGUGAUAAACUGGAGGAAGGUGGGGAUGACGUCAAGUCAUCAUGGCCCUUACGACCAGGGCUACACACGUGCUACAAUGGCGCAUACAAAGAGAAGCGACCUCGCGAGAGCAAGCGGACCUCAUAAAGUGCGUCGUAGUCCGGAUUGGAGUCUGCAACUCGACUCCAUGAAGUCGGAAUCGCUAGUAAUCGUGGAUCAGAAUGCCACGGUGAAUACGUUCCCGGGCCUUGUACACACCGCCCGUCACACCAUGGGAGUGGGUUGCAAAAGAAGUAGGUAGCUUAACCUUCGGGAGGGCGCUUACCACUUUGUGAUUCAUGACUGGGGUGAAGUCGUAACAAGGUAACCGUAGGGGGAACCUGCGGUUGGAUCACCUCCUUA
Molecule: ribosomal RNA, 1544 nt
Filed under: Salmonella enterica subsp. enterica serovar Infantis
Lineage: Bacteria; Pseudomonadati; Pseudomonadota; Gammaproteobacteria; Enterobacterales; Enterobacteriaceae
Description: bacterial SSU rRNA
Rfam family: Bacterial small subunit ribosomal RNA
Source: RNAcentral